ACUGGGUGUGGUGUGCACACCUGUAAUCCCAGCUACUCGGGAGGCUGAGACAUGAGGAUCACAAGUUCAAAGCCAGCUUCAGCAGUGGCAAGGUACUGAACAACUCAGUGAGACCCUAUCUCUA
This 124-nucleotide small RNA is filed under the name Marmota monax (woodchuck). The record is from RNAcentral. Lineage: Eukaryota; Metazoa; Chordata; Mammalia; Rodentia; Sciuridae.